AUUGAACGCUGGCGGCAGGCCUAACACAUGCGAGUCGAGCGGAUGAAGGGAGCUUGCUCCUGGAUUCAGCGGCGGACGGGUGAGUAAUGCCUAGGAAUCUGCCUGGUAGUGGGGGAUAACGUCCGGAAACGGGCGCUAAUACCGCAUACGUCCUGAGGGAGAAAGUGGGGGAUCUUCGGACCUCACGCUAUCAGAUGAGCCUAGGUCGGAUUAGCUAGUUGGUGGGGUAAAGGCCUACCAAGGCGACGAUCCGUAACUGGUCUGAGAGGAUGAUCAGUCACACUGGAACUGAGACACGGUCCAGACUCCUACGGGAGGCAGCAGUGGGGAAUAUUGGACAAUGGGCGAAAGCCUGAUCCAGCCAUGCCGCGUGUGUGAAGAAGGUCUUCGGAUUGUAAAGCACUUUAAGUUGGGAGGAAGGGCAGUAAGUUAAUACCUUGCUCUCUUGACGUUACCAACAGAAUAAGCACCGGCUAACUUCGUG
RNAcentral lists this ribosomal RNA (484 nucleotides) under uncultured bacterium. RNAcentral describes it as "partial 16S ribosomal RNA". It matches the Rfam family "Bacterial small subunit ribosomal RNA", at positions 30 to 507 of the family's 1533-position model. The record is from RNAcentral.